Molecule: ribosomal RNA, 253 nt
Filed under: uncultured bacterium
Lineage: Bacteria
Description: partial 16S ribosomal RNA
Rfam family: Bacterial small subunit ribosomal RNA
Source: RNAcentral
UACGAAGGGGGCUAGCGUUGUUAGGAAUUACUGGGCGUAAAGCGCACGUAGGCGGACUUGUAAGUUGGGGGUGCAAUCCCGGGGCUCAACCCCGGAAUUGCCUUCAAGACUGCAAGUCUGGAGGUCAGGAGAGGCGAGCGGAAUUCCGAGUGUAGAGGUGAAAUUCGUAGAUAUUCUGAGGAACACCAGUGGCGAAGGCGGCUCGCUGGACUGAUACUGACGCUGAGGUGCGAAAUCGUUGGGUGCUAUCAUG